This 460-nucleotide ribosomal RNA is filed under the name uncultured bacterium. RNAcentral's name for it is "partial 16S ribosomal RNA". It matches the Rfam family "Bacterial small subunit ribosomal RNA", at positions 338 to 795 of the family's 1533-position model. The record is from RNAcentral.
CCUACGGGAGGCUGCAGUGAGGAAUAUUGGUCAAUGGACGAGAGUCUGAACCAGCCAAGUAGCGUGAAGGAUGACUUCCCUAUGGGUUGUAAACUUCUUUUAUAUGGGAAUAAAAUGUUCCACGUGUGGGAUUUUGUAUGUACCAUAUGAAUAAGGAUCGGCUAACUCCGUGCCAGCAGCCGCGGUAAUACGGAGGAUCCGAGCGUUAUCCGGAUUUAUUGGGUUUAAAGGGAGCGUAGGUGGAUUGUUAAGUCAGUUGUGAAAGUUUGCGGCUCAACCGUAAAAUUGCAGUUGAAACUGGCAGUCUUGAGGACAGUAGAGGUGGGCGGAAUUCGUGGUGUAGCGGUGAAAUGCUUAGAUAUCACGAAGAACUCCGAUUGCGAAGGCAGUUCACUGGACUGCAACUGACACUGAGGCUCGAAAGUGUGGGUAUCAAACAGGAUUAGAUACCCUAGUAGUC